This 484-nucleotide ribosomal RNA is filed under the name uncultured bacterium. RNAcentral's name for it is "partial 16S ribosomal RNA". It matches the Rfam family "Bacterial small subunit ribosomal RNA", at positions 29 to 507 of the family's 1533-position model. The record is from RNAcentral.
AGUGAACGCUGGCGGCAGGCCUAACACAUGCAAGUCGAGCGGCAGCGCGGGGGCAACCCUGGCGGCGAGCGGCGGACGGGUGAGGAAUUCGUCGGAAUCUGCCUUUUUGUGGGGGAUAACGUGGGGAAACUUACGCUAAUACCGCAUACGUCCUACGGGAGAAAGUGGGGGACCGCAAGGCCUCACGCAGAAAGAUGAGCCGACGACCGAUUAGCUAGUUGGUGGGGUAAAGGCCCACCAAGGCGACGAUCGGUAGCUGGUCUGAGAGGAUGAUCAGCCACACUGGGACUGAGACACGGCCCAGACUCCUACGGGAGGCAGCAGUGGGGAAUAUUGGACAAUGGGCGCAAGCCUGAUCCAGCCAUGCCGCGUGUGUGAAGAAGGCCUUCGGGUUGUAAAGCACUUUUGUCCGGAAAGAAAUCCCUGGAGCUAAUACCUUCGGGGGAUGACGGUACCGGAAGAAUAAGCACCGGCUAACUUCGUG